GAUGAAGAAACGCAGCGAAAUGCGAUACGUAGUGUGAAUUGCAGAAUUCCGUGAACCAUCGAAUCUUUGAACGCAAAUUGCGCUCGAGGCCUCGGCUAAGAGCAUGUCUGGCUCAGCGUCGGCUUACUACCCUCAAUCAAUUACCUUGUGAUGAUUGGUUGGAGCUGGCUUUCCGGUGUUCCAAUCAGGUUGCCGGUCAGCUGAAAAACAUUCACGCUGUGGAAGUCGCUUUCCCUUCAAAAAGGAAAGCCGAGUUCCGAUUUGGUAGGUGACCUUUGCCGGUUGCAUGCCUUCGUUGCUCGUUUUGGCUUUCAUGAUAGCGUGUGCAGGACGCCAUUUUGGCUUUCGACCUGAGCUCAGGCAAGAACACCCGCUGAACUUAAGCAUAUCAAUAAGCGGAGGA
This 403-nucleotide unclassified non-coding RNA is filed under the name soil metagenome. RNAcentral describes it as "partial contains 5.8S ribosomal RNA, internal transcribed spacer 2, and large subunit ribosomal RNA". The stretch from base 1 to 121 matches the Rfam family "5.8S ribosomal RNA", at positions 35 to 154 of the family's 154-position model. The record is from RNAcentral.